AUUGAACGCUGGCGGCAUGCCUUACACAUGCAAGUCGAACGGCAGCACGGGAGCAAUCCUGGUGGCGAGUGGCGAACGGGUGAGUAAUAUAUCGGAACGUGCCCAGUCGUGGGGGAUAACGCAGCGAAAGCUGUGCUAAUACCGCAUACGAUCUAUGGAUGAAAGCGGGGGAUCGCAGGACCUCGCGCGAUUGGAGCGGCCGAUAUCAGAUUAGCUAGUUGGUGAGGUAAAGGCUCACCAAGGCGACGAUCUGUAGCUGGUCUGAGAGGACGACCAGCCACACUGGAACUGAGACACGGUCCAGACUCCUACGGGAGGCAGCAGUGGGGAAUUUUGGACGAUGGGCGAAAGCCUGAUCCAGCAAUGCCGCGUGCAGGAUGAAGGCCUUCGGGUUGUAAACUGCUUUUGUACGGAACGAAACGGUGAGCUCUAAUACAGUUUGCUAAUGACGGUACCGUAAGAAUAAGCACCGGCUAACUACGUGCCAGCCGCCGCGGUAA
Molecule: ribosomal RNA, 500 nt
Filed under: uncultured bacterium
Lineage: Bacteria
Description: partial 16S ribosomal RNA
Rfam family: Bacterial small subunit ribosomal RNA
Source: RNAcentral